This 496-nucleotide ribosomal RNA is filed under the name uncultured bacterium. Its description in RNAcentral is "partial 16S ribosomal RNA". It matches the Rfam family "Bacterial small subunit ribosomal RNA", at positions 28 to 506 of the family's 1533-position model. The record is from RNAcentral.
GAUGAACGCUGGCGGCGUGCCUAAUACAUGCAAGUCGAGCGAACAGACGAGGAGCUUGCUCCUCUGACGUUAGCGGCGGACGGGUGAGUAACACGUGGAUAACCUACCUAUAAGACUGGGAUAACUUCGGGAAACCGGAGCUAAUACCGGAUAAUAUAUUGAACCGCAUGGUUCAAUAGUGAAAGACGGUUUUGCUGUCACUUAUAGAUGGAUCCGCGCCGCAUUAGCUAGUUGGUAAGGUAACGGCUUACCAAGGCAACGAUGCGUAGCCGACCUGAGAGGGUGAUCGGCCACACUGGAACUGAGACGCGGUCCAGACUCCUACGGGAGGCAGCAGUAGGGAAUCUUCCGCAAUGGGCGAAAGCCUGACGGAGCAACGCCGCGUGAGUGAUGAAGGUCUUCGGAUCGUAAAACUCUGUUAUUAGGGAAGAACAAAUGUGUAAGUAACUAUGCACGUCUUGACGGUACCUAAGCAGAAAGCCACGGCUAACUACGU